GGAAAGACAAUUUCUUGAUUUAUGUUGUUCGUAAUUACCAUAAAAAAUCAAAUCAUUUACAUUCGUAAAUCUCAGAUUUGUACGUCUGUCAUAAAACUAUCCCUAAUUCCCGCAUGUUCGUAAUUAUCAUAAAAAAAUCAAAUCACUUAUGUUCGUAAAUGCCAGAUUUUUACGACUGCCAUAAAACUGUCCCUAAUUUCCGCUAGUGUUCUUAGUUGUACCGAUAUUAUGUUUUUAUCAAUUAUGCUACACGGUGUAAGUAUUUAUGUGAUGCUGUAUAAGAAUUUAUGCUCUAUGUGACUAGGGUUGAAAACGGUCGGAAACGAUCGGAAAACACUAAAACUGUUACCGUUUUCAUAUUUUUUAUCGGAAACGAAAUCGGAAACGGUAAUUCCGGAAACAGAAACGACAUCGGUAUUUCGGAAUCAUCGGAAACGGAAGUUCGGUACAAAAAAUACAUCGGUAUCGGUCGGAAUCUAAAAUUCAAUCGGUAACCAUAUCAAUAUGAAAAUAUCACAAUACAACAAAGUUUACGAAUAUCACAAAAAACACAAGUUCACAAUUUUCAAUAUCACAUGUUCACAAUUCACAAUAUCACAAGUUCACAAUAUAAUAAUGGAUCACACAGAUCACAAGUUCACAAUAUUACAAAUUAAUCCCAUAAAUCACAAGUUCACAAUAUAACAAAUUGAUCACAAGUUUACAAUAUAACAAGUGGAUAUUGAAAAUGAAAAACGAGCGCCAACUCCGAACAGCAAAAACCCUGUAUAUACCACACAUAGAAGACAUCAAGGUCUUAUCGAGAUGUAAUCAGAUUCGCAUUAAUCAAUAUUAGGCUGAUAUGAAUUAAAAUAGAACUCCAAGUAAAUUUUAAUAUACCUAAUACAUGAUUUCAGCGAGGGAUUCGAAUAAUAUCCAAACAAAACCCCAAGUGAUAAGUGUGUGGCCGUGUGGGGGUGGGGGAGGGAGAGGCUAGUAGGCUACAGCCUACUACCACGUUGCAGGCUUGCAACAGCCGAGGAGAAGCCGUGCAGGCUGUUGAGGAAGAGGAGCGGCAGCAAGGGGGCAUGGGCGUGCGCGCCGACGGCAGCAGCAAGGACAGGUCCUUCUCCGAGCGGUGUGUGCAUCCAUGGCCACAAAGCUAGGAUUAGGGAUUACAGAUUUACAGAUUAGUAGAUUACUUACAGUGGAUUGGGGGCAGUGCGUUCGUCCGUGGUCUGCACGCGCAGCCCGGCAGAGAGAAGGAAGAUGAGUCACGGAAUUUGGGGGCACGGUAUGGAGCGCUGAGCAGCCGUGAACAAUGGCGACUAGCUGUGGCGGCUGUGUGCGGUGUGCCUGUGCGGCUGCGCUGUGCUGGGCGAGGGCGGCGGAUGUGCGACGGGCCGACGACAGAUGGG
RNAcentral lists this long non-coding RNA (1397 nucleotides) under Zea mays. RNAcentral describes it as "long non-coding RNA (ZMAY_LNC001172)". Lineage: Eukaryota; Viridiplantae; Streptophyta; Magnoliopsida; Poales; Poaceae. The record is from RNAcentral.